CACGUAGGGUGCAAGCGUUGUCCGGAAUUAUUGGGCGUAAAGAGCUCGUAGGCGGUUUGUCGCGUCUGCUGUGAAAACCCGAGGCUCAACCUCGGGCCUGCAGUGGGUACGGGCAGGCUAGAGUGCGGUAGGGGAGAUUGGAAUUCCUGGUGUAGCGGUGGAAUGCGCAGAUAUCAGGAGGAACACCAAUGGCGAAGGCAGAUCUCUGGGCCGUAACUGACGCUGAGGAGCGAAAGCAUGGGGAGCGAACAGG
RNAcentral lists this ribosomal RNA (253 nucleotides) under uncultured bacterium. Its description in RNAcentral is "partial 16S ribosomal RNA". It matches the Rfam family "Bacterial small subunit ribosomal RNA", at positions 524 to 776 of the family's 1533-position model. The record is from RNAcentral.